Molecule: transfer RNA, 73 nt
Filed under: Apaloderma vittatum (bar-tailed trogon)
Lineage: Eukaryota; Metazoa; Chordata; Aves; Trogoniformes; Trogonidae
Rfam family: tRNA
About the family: Transfer RNA (tRNA) molecules are approximately 80 nucleotides in length. Their secondary structure includes four short double-helical elements and three loops (D, anti-codon, and T loops). Further hydrogen bonds mediate the characteristic L-shaped molecular structure. tRNAs have two regions of fundamental functional importance: the anti-codon, which is responsible for specific mRNA codon recognition, and the 3' end, to which the tRNAs corresponding amino acid is attached (by aminoacyl-tRNA synthetases). tRNAs cope with the degeneracy of the genetic code in two manners: having more than one tRNA (with a specific anti-codon) for a particular amino acid; and 'wobble' base-pairing, i.e. permitting non-standard base-pairing at the 3rd anti-codon position.
Source: Rfam by way of RNAcentral
GGCCAGUUAGCUCAUUCAGUUGAGCAUGGCGCUAACAGCGCCAAGGUCGUGGGUUUGAUUCCCGUUCGGUCCC